Protopterus annectens (West African lungfish) is the source of this 7623-nucleotide long non-coding RNA. RefSeq lists it as uncharacterized. Lineage: Eukaryota; Metazoa; Chordata; Ceratodontiformes; Protopteridae. The transcript is spliced from 2 exons. The record is from RefSeq and is a predicted model, not a curated record.
UUUGAUUAUGGCUCUUAGUUUGCAGUCAUCUGCGAACUUCGUUAGUCAAAGACCUUCUGUGUUAGCCUGUACUUCAGGCUAAUGGAAUACAAAUAGAAAACACAGUAUCAAUUAUUUUUCUCUAUGAAACAGUGAUUGGCUGAUAAAGUUCAUUGAGCUGAAAAAUCAUCUAGUUUACAUUUAGUGAAGUCAGUGGUAGUUGGAUUUGUCUUUUUACAUUUAAUGGACAGCAGGUUCUCAUUUUCUUCCAUCAAGAUUCGCAGUCAGCCUUGUCAGUUUGCCUUCAGUUGGAUCCUGAUUUAGCCUCUUGGCAUAUUUUGAAGGUGCUUAUGAACGGUAUAGUUCACUUUACGUCUCCCCUCAACAAGUACUGCAUUCUUUCUAAACAGAACUUUAAUUUUUUUUUGGGGGGGGGGGGGUCACCUUUACAGUUUGCAGUUUGGAAAGUAGCCAUUCUUUGUGCAUGUGACCUCAUCUAGGACUGUGUUGGAGUUGCAGGUCUUUAAGUGUGUCAGAUAUUGUGUAGUAUUCCACAAGGUAAGUAGUGCCUUUAACUGUAUAACUAUUUAUAUCCAUGGUGAUGAGAGGUAUUGCUUUAAAUCAAAAGAGAGCUUUCAUCUUUUUAUUCUCAUUCCAGUAUCACUGGGAAUUGAUUUGUUACAUCAUUUUCAGUGUAAAAACUGUUUGCAUAUGUUUCAAGAACUAAAGAAGCAUAGUAAAUUAGAUCAACUUCUCUGUCUCCUUUUCACCUAGUAAGUUGCUGGCACAAGCGGGUAGAUAUCCUGUUUUCAUUGUUAUUAUUCCAUAGGCAAAUCAGUUCAAGGACCUUUCAGGGCUCAUUCCACAAAGAACACUGUUAAGCUGUCUUCGCUUGGUUUGUGGUGUCUAUUUAGCGGUUGUCUUGGGAGUCAGCCACAUAAUAUGUAGUAUUAAGUUUCUGGAAUUAGAGGUGAUUUUGCUGCAGAGGUUGUCCAAGAAGUAUUGCUGAGCUUUGGAUUCAUAGUUUGAAGUUGUGCCAAAACAUCUUUGAGACUUGAACAAGGAUUAUCAAAUGUUGAGACAUAGUUAUGUGAUGCACUUGCCAUGAGUAGAUAGUAUAAUUAUCUUUGUUGUUACAGUAUAGGUAUACUCCUCCAUCACUGUCGGGUGGUUUUCGUUUCAUUUCACAUUAACAAUAUCUGGCAAUGUACUCUGAUGUGCAUCUGUUUAGGGCUGAAUGUAACUGAAACUUUUUACGGUCGUGUUUAGCCAAUUGCACAGAUGAGUGGCUGUGUGAUCAUUUUUGAACACUUCUUGCAGCAGUCACACAGGAUAUCUUGGCUAGUUGACUGUGACAAGCAGGAGAGUGUAGUGUGGAAGCCUGUUAAUACUAUCACAUUAAUACUGUGCUUUGUUCUGAUACUAGUAGCUUGUUGAUGUGCCGUUAUUAGCUGGGUUAACUGUCAUAGACCGACCAUAUAAGGCAUUUUAUGUAAAGAGCCAUGGAUGGAGGUCAGUAUGUUUCUGGCAUAUUUUGGCACUUUGGUUACUGAGCUAAUUUCUCACAGGGAUUUUGGCUCAAAGAUCUGAGACUGUUCCUACCUUUGAGGGACUGGGUGAUGCUAACCUGAUUGACAGCUCUAACUUAGCUGAACUUAGGUGCAGUUUUGAUUUACUGUAGCAGUACACUGCUGUUUCACAGCACUUGGCUCUCUGGUUCAAUUUCCUGUUGUGAUCAUCUUUUAGUCUGCUUGUCCUCCCAUUGUCGGCAUAAGUUUGCCAGGAGCUCCCAUUUUGUACUGCAUUCUAGAGACAGAAUUCUAAGUGGCCCGUAAGUGUAUGCUCACAUCCUGUGCUGGACUAGCAUCCUCUCCAUGAAUAAUGUCCUCUGCUUUGCUCUCACUGAGUGGCAGAAUACGUUUCAGCUCUUCCAUAGUUUUAAAUUGGGUGAAGCUGGUAAUGGAGAAGUAAAUGUUUGGACUACUGCUUUAGGAAAACGUAUUUCCUCAAGAAGUGGGUAGCAACUCAAAAGCAGUUAUGACUGACAAUGACAGUUGUACUUUAUAGCCAGCAAAUUAUUUUUAGAUUAUGGGUGGCAGACUUACGUAAACACGGUUGCAGUAUGGGCUUACUGCAGUAUGGUGCAACGCACUUACCCCUAAGCUUUAAAGAUUUGUCAGAAAAAUGUUUAAAUGCCAUUUAACAGUUGAGAAAAGGAUUGUGUAAAAUGGUUUCACUUUUGAUGCAGUUAAUAAGCAGUGGAAAACACAACUUUGAAUACACAGAUCCAUGAUUUGCACUUAUAGACAUUUUCUUGUGAGUUGAAGGACAGAUGUGCGAUAGUUCAUUUUGUCAGAAACCAUGGUUAGUGCAAGGGUUCUUUUAGCAUAUAUCAGGAAAUAAUACCUGCUAGUAUUUUUUUUUUUUUUUUUUUUUUUGUUACUGUAAAAGCUUUCAGCUCAGUGCUGCCAAGCAGAGUUAUUCCUGCAGUAAGAAUACACUCUACUGUAGAUCAUCUGGCUGUUCUUGUAGGGAAAGUAUCUUGCAGGCUGCAGGAAGCUUGUCCUUUGUAUUUGUAGAAGCUGCUGCUGACAGUGUGCAUCCUAGUAAUUGAUAAACACAUAGCACAUUAUAUGCAUGAUCCACAGCAAAGGUCACUUGUAAUCUGAAACAUUCACAUGUUGAACAUCAUAUCCAGUAAGUGGAGUUCAUACGUGGCUGGCCAUUGUUUCUGCUAGAAUUAGCAGGUGUGUCUUUGUUGCAUUAACUCAUUUUAUAGGCUAUGGUUACAUGGGAUCAAAUCAGAAAAGUUUAUUCCUUCGUACAAUGUGCCUUCCUUCUGAAUCAUAGGUAAAAUGAGAGGGAAUGAUUCUAGUCGCCAUGUGUUCCGUAAUCCGCUCACAGUAGCCCCAGGAAAGUUCAGUGUACCUCUUGCAUUUGAGCUGACAGUUUUGCAAAGAUUGAAGCCUUUUGUUCUAUCAGAGUACAUUUUGAAUGUUCCCAAAGAGUGUUUAUUUUGUGAUGCAACCUGUUACAACAUUAAGGUCCAUCUGUAUUCUGUUUUAGGGCGUUGGGUUUUUUUGACAUUAGCUUUAGGUUAAAAACAUUCUGAGAUGUUCUGUAUGUUUCUUCAAGACCUGUUCUGUGAACUGUAUUAUUUGUACACCUGUGUAAUGGAAAAGUUAUUUGAACCUGUAUGGGUACCUUUAACCAUGGCAGAUAUGAUCAUGUCAGGUCAGUUUUACUUAUAAGGAAGUAUAUUAUGAAUUUAAAAUUGUACUUGUAAAGCAGAUGUUUAAGUUAUAGGCCCUGUAUACUAGAAGUAACCAUGUGACUUCACAGGAGUCAAGGUAGUAAGGUGCACACAGUCAUUUGUCUACCACCCAGUCAUGCAUAUAUUAACCCAAAAAAAAAACUUGCUUUAAGGAUUUUCCAGAGCCAUUUUUUCCAGCAGCUGAUGCUGUCCUGCAGUGGGUCAUUGUAACCAGGACAGAGUUGGGGUCAUUUUUAGUUCAAGUCCCUGUCAAGGAAUUUCAUUGUCUCUUUGGACCUUUUAAAGAGUUUGUUUUUCAUAGUGGUGACCUGGACUAACCCAACUGUUCUGUUGAUUUUUCUUAAACUAGUACAACCACAUUGAGCAGUCACCUGUAUUUAUGCUGUUUGUAAUGCCACCAAAAAUAUAUUGGGUUCCUUAAAAGGACAGUUAGACUGCAUUUUCUGUUGCAUGCUUCCAUGUAAAGAUGGGCCUUGAGUCUAGGCAGUGCAGUAAAAGGUACUUGGGGUUGGUGGAUGCACACAUUUUAAUUACAGAAAGGUUGGAAUGCAGCUGCUUGAAGGGGGCAAACAGCAUUUCAACAUGGAUGCUGGUUUCUUAAUGAAAGUUGUAGGGAAAUGAUUUUGGUUAUAGAUGUAGAAAGCUCAUUAUCCUGUGAAUGUGUGCAUCCUUUCUCCAGGCAGUGCUUCCUACAUCACUGGACUCAGUCUGUUGACUGCUUUAGCACAGCUGUCCCACAGAUCCUUUUUCUUAAGACGUGGUAAUCUUUCCAUGCAUCUUUAUUUUACACUGAAUUUAAUUUUCAGUUUUAGUCUGGGAGUCAAAUUUGUAGUUUAUUUUGAGAGAAAAGGAAAAUGAUACUUUGUCUUCUUGAUAUUUUAGUUUCAUUAUCUGCUCAUUUUUACCUGUUGACGCACUGAGUGUUAUGUCAAAGUAGGCUUACGGGCGGUGGUUUAUGUAUACUAGCAAGGCAUUCUGUGUAAUCAAAAACUAGCUGCUACUUCAGCAGAAAAAAAUACUCACAUUGUCUGUUGUGACACUACAUCAUCACUUAUGGUAAUUUUUUAUGUAAGGUAUGCUACCUGCAAAGGCCAACGGCUUGUGUUUUAGGAAGUAAAAAUAUUCUGUAACUGCAGUUAGAAUGGAAAAUAGUAGCCUGUGCACUAGUGUAGGGCAAUGAGAUAUUGUGGCCCCAGUCUUAAUGGUAAAAUAUUUCCCCACACUUUCAUGUCCAGAGUUCAGUUUUGAUGUCUGGUCACUGUGCGAAUUUCCUUUUACCUCCCAGGAACAGACAGGCAGAUUGGCUGCAUUUCGUCGUCCGUACGUUAUCCUUUGUGGCCCAGCGUGUGUCUGAAAAAGACUGAAGAAAGACCAAUCCACGUACUCCCAGGAAUAAUUUUCUGAGGGUGCAUUCUUAUCAACAAUAAAAUGCAAAAGUAAAUUUUUGCAACUUAAACUGCAUGAAUAGGUAUUGUCAUGGUAAGGGUAUUGUAUCAACUGCCGUUAAGUUUUUGUUUUGCUACAAAAAAAGUAAUUAUCACUUUAGACAAGGUCUUCCCACUUUCUAAUAUACUACUGUGAUCUCUACAGUAGUACAGUCAUGUAGAUCGUAAGUGAUAUGGUGAACAAAUUAUCAUUAGUUUUGCAGCAAAGAGCAUGGACGCUACAUAGUUUAAUCAUAGAAUUUUAAAAUCAGGAGUAGUUUACUUGUAGACUGAAAUGGCUGAAUUGUUCAUGCUCAUUCCUUCUACUCUUGAUACUGGCUGUUUCUAAGAGGACAUAAAGACAUUACAGGCAUCUGUGUGGAACACACCAGAUUUUUUUCAGGAUUUAUGCUGACUGAUCUCUGGUCCCUGUCAUUCAGGCCUACUGUUUGAUUGAAAGAACAUCCCUUACCUGUUUGAGGAUGUUAUGUUUUUAUACAGAUUUGUCAGGACGGAUUGGUUGUCAGUUGAUAUCGAUAGUUCUACUUUCUUCGGCAUUUGGUUGUAAUUGCAAAGUGCCUCUGAGAAUCGGGAAUCUCAUACUCGUGGACAUCGAGCCUCGUAGCGCAAGUUUAGGUGAGCUGAUGCUCCAAGUUCCUGUGUGCAAUUUGAUUACCUUUAUUUUUGCAUUGUAGGUUGUGGCUUUUGGCUGAAUGCACGUCCCUCAUCUUGUCCUCGUGGUCAUUUAAGUUUGAGAUCAGAAGCAUUGUGUGAUCAGGAUUAACAGGUUAUAUUACUGCAGUGGUAUAAAUACAUGCAGGAUCUUUAAAGCAUCAGUGCCAGUAUUUAUAGCGGAGAUAUUUAUUUAUUUUGCAUCUUUAACGCACAAAAUUUAAGGAGUGCACCUUGUGGCGCAUUUGAUGGACAUUAGCCAUGCCACAUGCACAUUUUUGAUUUGUGAAAACUGUCCUGUACCUAUGGCUUACAGACAUAACCUCUCGGCUGUCCAGAUUUUCACAGAAUGUCCAUAUUUUGCUAGAUGUUUGGUAUGUUUCUUACAAAGUUUAGGUUUUCUGGCAAAUCAUUGAAGACACUAAAUGGUGGGUAUUUGAGUUUCUUGCUUCAUAUCCUUCAGAAAAUGCAUGCCUAAUGCAAGACCUGUUAUUGUAACAACUCUCUAAGUUUAUAAGAACAAUAUUUAAAAGUCUACCUCUAUUUUUGGUCCUUUUGGGCUCUGUCCAGAUUUUUUGUGUUACGGCAUUGAGAGCUAUGUUUUACAGAUCUGUGCAUCACUUAACUAACUGCUUGAAUUGCUGGUCAUGCAUACCAUAUUUAUAGCUGUGCUCUUGCACAAUUUACAUUUGAUACCCUAAAGUCUUCCAGUUUGCACUUGCUACAGCCUCCCUUAAAGAACUGUUGAUGUCAUCUAGAUGUCCAUCUCUUCUCUUUCAGCUCUCUGGGCUUCAUCAAAUUCAAUCUGACCCCCAGUUCCUAUGCGUUUUUGUUCUAUGAGCAUUUUCAUUCUGGAAGGUACUUUUGCAGUGCAUUAUGAUCAGAAUUGUUAGGUGGGUGCAUCAGUUACGUUUGUUCUUCCUUUUCAGUACAAUUUUGUUUUAGUCCCAUAGGAGAAAAAAUGUUUUAAGUUAUGGCUCAUAUGCAGCAGAUAAUAUUAAAAGAAAGCUUGUGGCCAAAUCAAGUGAUGCUACAUUUUGUUUUAACACUUAAAACAAUUGUAUAUCAAAUUAACGUGGCAGUUGUCCUUUACAUGGGAUUGAAGACAUGAAGUUCAGGAAUAAGUGAAGUACGUACUGAUGCCUUAGUAGUGAAUGCUGGCCUUUGAAGGAGGAGAAGAGUGGGCACCCUAAUAUAUACCGUCAGGUAACAGCAGAGAAGAGUGGGCACCCUAAUAUAUACCGUCAGGUAACAGCAGAGAAGAGUGGGCACCCUAAUAUAUACCGUCAGGUAAUAUAGCAGGUUUCUAUCCAUUAUGACCGUCUGAGUGACCAACUUGUGUAGCUGGAAUUUUAAACUAAAAUUGUAUAUGCUGCAGUCUGUGGAUAGCAGGUACCUGUGUUUCCAAAAUACCCCCAUCCUGGUUAGAAGUAGCCUUUCUCUGUGUCUGUCCAUCUCUGGUGCAGUAAAAUGGGAUUAAAAAAAGACCUCUACUUUCUAACUGUUGCUUUCUCUUUCUCCAUUUUGUUUCAUUGCUUAGCAAGAGUAAAAGGCAUAAGCAGUGGCCUAUCUGUAGACAUAGCGUGUAUGCUAAAAAGUACACAAGUGUACUGAAGCUUCCUUUUAAAGAAUGAGGGGAAAAGGCAAGCACCCUGAAUUCCUUGUGUUUUUAUUUUCCAGCAGUAAUCUAUUAAGUUUACAGGUGCAUCUUCCCACAAAUUCUAAUCACCUUUUUUGCAAAUGUCAUUUUUUUCUUGCCCUGUUCCAAAUUUCAAGGUUUAAAAAGUAACCAAAAAGUAUAUAUUUUUUAUGAAUUUAACUGUGUGGUUGUUAAUCUCAAGAUACUGUGAGCCCAGACUUCUAGCCUUCUGCUCUUUAGUGAGCAUGGUUUCCUGGAAACAUUCACCUCAUUAAGGGCUGCUGCAUCCUGUAUCAGUUGUAAUGUACAUAAAAUUCAACAUUAUUUAGUAUACAUCUUUAUUCGUAUGUCUUAUCGGUUACCUGGUUAUAGUUUAACAUUACUUUUUGUCACUUGCUGUUAACAAGUGGUCUUUGAGCUGUUCUGCAGAUUUGUUUUCCUUUUGUUUUGUGUUGUUACCCAUGGUUAUCUUAUUGGUCCUUUUGUGCAAUAUGUAUAUUUUAAACACUAUAUAUCUCUCAGCAGCCUUUUGUAGCCUGUAAAAAUCUAAAAGCUGUUAGUUUUGUAAUUAAACUGUUAUAAAUGUCUUUUACAGAUUUGCACUUAACAGCUAUUAAAAUUAAGUUAUACAGUUA